GCCCCUGUAGCUUAACAUUAAAGCAUUG
This 28-nucleotide transfer RNA is filed under the name Holbrookia maculata ruthveni. Its description in RNAcentral is "partial tRNA-Thr". Lineage: Eukaryota; Metazoa; Chordata; Lepidosauria; Squamata; Phrynosomatidae. The record is from RNAcentral.